GAUGAAGAACGUAGUGAAAUGCGAUACUUGGUGUGAAUUGCAGAAUCCCGUGAACCAUCGAGUCUUUGAACGCAAGUUGCGCCCGAAGCCAUCAGGUUGAGGGCACGUCUGCCUGGGCGUCACAUAUCGUUGCCCAAUGCCUAUUGCAGUGCAAUAGGAAUUUCUAGGGCGAAUGAUGGCUUCCCGUGAGCGUUGUUGCCUCGCGGUUGGUUGAAAAUCGAGUCCUUGGUAGGGUGUGCCAUGGUAGAUGGUGGUCGAGUUAGAACGAUACCGAUCAUGUGCAUGCUCCCCAAAAUAUGGCCUCUAUGACCCACACGCGUCUUUUGACGCUCAUGACGAGACCACAGGUCAGGCGGGGCUACCCGCUGAAUUUAAGCAUAUCAAUAAGCGGAGGA
This 395-nucleotide unclassified non-coding RNA is filed under the name soil metagenome. RNAcentral's name for it is "partial contains 5.8S ribosomal RNA, internal transcribed spacer 2, and large subunit ribosomal RNA". The stretch from base 1 to 122 matches the Rfam family "5.8S ribosomal RNA", at positions 35 to 154 of the family's 154-position model. The record is from RNAcentral.